This is a small nuclear RNA of Ailuropoda melanoleuca (giant panda), 107 nucleotides long. Lineage: Eukaryota; Metazoa; Chordata; Mammalia; Carnivora; Ursidae. The record is from Ensembl.
GUGCUUGCUUCGGCAGCACAUAUACUAAAAUUGAAAUGAUACAUUAAAGAUGAGCAUGGCCCUUGCACAAGGAUGACACACAGAUUUGUGAAGCGUUCCUUGUUUCU